RNAcentral lists this long non-coding RNA (2479 nucleotides) under Malus domestica (apple). RNAcentral describes it as "long non-coding RNA (MDOM_LNC004466)". The record is from RNAcentral. Lineage: Eukaryota; Viridiplantae; Streptophyta; Magnoliopsida; Rosales; Rosaceae.
AGCCCACCUCACGAUGAUACGAUGUUUGGCUAGCAACAAUAAUAAUGAGAGGGUACAAGUACCCAUUCACAACAACCUCUUGUGAUUACCCAUCUUUUUGGCCUCUAGAAAAUAAUACCUCAUGAUGAUACGAUGUUGGCAUUAUGUUUCUUAGUUAAGUUCUUUCCCACCAUGCCGGUUUAGCUAGGGGUUCAAGCAUGACCUCACGAUGAUACGAUGUUGGUCAUACUCGUUGCCUACCUUAACCUCAUCAAAUGUUUUAAAUAAACUCCUCCUGAAUAUAAGCAUGCACUUUGUCACUUCCCCAUGAUAGGGUGAAGGCGGUGUACAAGUCAUAAACGCUUGGAGCCUACCACGGUGGAAGGCCACGAAAAAGUGUUCUAAGCACUCUUACGCUUUCAACUUAAUAUUUGGUUGGUUGAGGGAUUUUAAGGUCUCAUCAAUUUUAUUUAUUUAAUCACAAUCAAAUAAAUUGUCCUAUUAUAACUACUAGUCCAAAGUUAAUGAAAUUAGUAGCAUAUAAUAUCCCCACUAUUCGUUUUCAUAAAACAAAUCAAUAUCAAAACAUUUUUCAAAAUAUUGGAGAUAUAUAUAACAACUAAUUGUAUUCAUUAUAGUCUAGUAGCGUAUGAUGCUCCCACUAUUUUUUUUGAGAAAAACAAAUUAAUAUCAAAAACGAAUUUUUCAAAUAUUGGAAGUAACUACUACUACUAAGGUUUUUGCAUUCCUUACGAUUUGAACUUUAUAGUUAUCUUAGGCUCUUGGAUGACUAUGGACUUAUUAGGUUAUUGCAACAACGAGCCAUCAUUGUUGAAUAUAAACUCGGGGAGGUUGUGUCAAUUUAAUUACGUGCUUAUCAAUCCAAUUAAAACCAUUUUCAUUGAGCCAUUAGAAAUGAAAGACAAUCAUUCAUUGCUAAUUUGGGCAUUGGACCCUUUUAAUCUUUAAUCUCGUGUCAAAACCCUCUUUUAAUUAUGUCUCCUUACCAAUAGUUAAAGAAACUCUAGUCUAGCACUAGAGGGAAUCAACUAACAAAUAGAGAUUAAGAAGUAAUAAGAAUUACAAACCGAUUUGUACAAAUUCCUAUAAAUUACAUAUACUAAAAGGGGAGAGAUAGAUUAACGUCAAACGUGACAAGGUCCAAUUAAACAGUAAUUAAAACACAUUCCCAAGGUUCAAACAAUUUGAUUUUAGCGCCUUAUCAUGUAGCUCAAUUAUCGUUUAAGGCAUAAGUCCAAAGUCAUCCAUUUCAUAACUACUUAAACACAUUUAAAUAAUCAUAAUGGAAUGCAACAUAAACAUUUAGAUUUAGUGCAUAUGGGCAUAAUAUAAUUAUGAGUUUAAACAACUAACAAAAUUAAAAUCAAAUAUUUUAACUUUCUAGUUAGUAGGGGCCUAAAUGUAAAUAUGAAAAGUUAGGGGUAAAACCGUAAAUACUCAAAAGUAUAAAAUAUCAACUUUUCAAAGAUUACAAAAGACCCCCCAAGUGGACAAAUCCACUAGGGUGGCCGGCCAUUUGAUGGGGGAUGGGAAGUCUCACCCAUCAAGCUUUAAUUCAAUGCAAAGAAGAAAAAAUCCAAAUUUGCUUGUCACUUGGUUUUGGCAUUAAAUGGCUUUAAUGAAAAAUUUGAUGGAAAUCUCCUAGACAAGUCUAGGGUUUUAAUAAGUUUUAAUAUAGUUAUGGAUGGUAAGAACAUCACCCAAAACCAUAAAACCAUGCAUGAAAACCAAAUAAAACCAUUUUCACCCAAAACCAAACUAUGAACACCAAGAACAAAACCAUGAACACUUUUUCAAGAUUUGUGUAUUCUUGGUGAUUUUUCAAACCCAAAAACAAAAGUGACAAGAACACUUCUUUCAAGCUUUAAAAGGAUGUGUGAGUGGUUUACAAUAAAACACAAACACAACCCAAAACCACCCCCAAAACCGUGCCAUCCCUUUGGUUCAAAACCCCAAAUGUUGUUCAUGACUUAUUCUUCAUUCAUGCAUACAAAACAACUUUUACAUGCAUAUCUUUUUCAACUCUUGAUUUACAUUUUUCAACCAUUGAAAAAACAAAAGACAAACAUACUUUUAAAUGAAGAAAUAAUAUGUCAUACUAGUUAUAAACUCAUUUUUCAUUCAUGCAUACAAAACACUUUUGCAAACAUAUCUUUCUCAACUUUUGACUAACAUUUUUCAACUAUUGAAAAACAAAAGAUAAACAUACUUUGAAUGAAACAAUAAUAUGUCAUACAUAACAUUAAUACCCAUAUGCAUAAAAUCUAAAAGGACACAUUAUACAUAAACCAUUGGCUCUGAUACCACUUGAAGGGAAAUUUAUGAGAUUCUAGCAAGGGAUUUCAUAAUGACUAUCAUGCAUAUACAAAUCAAAUUUAAUAUACGAAAGCAGCGGAAGCAUUUAUAACAAUUUAUCAAAGCUAUAGUCAUGCAAAUCCCCUUCAAGGUUCAUAGGUUUAUAUAUAAUGCAUCAAAACAA